This is a non-coding RNA of Salmo salar (Atlantic salmon), 54 nucleotides long. NCBI's taxonomy places the organism in Eukaryota, Metazoa, Chordata, Actinopteri, Salmoniformes, Salmonidae. The record is from Rfam.
UGCAUUCACUAUUGUAAGUCGCUCUGGAUAAGAGCAUCUGCUAAAUGACUAAAA